UCUGAGUCCGGGUCGCGCGG
This 20-nucleotide microRNA is filed under the name Rattus norvegicus (Norway rat). Its description in RNAcentral is "rno-miR-1199-5p". Lineage: Eukaryota; Metazoa; Chordata; Mammalia; Rodentia; Muridae. The record is from miRBase by way of RNAcentral.